CCCUUAGAUGUUCUGGGCUGCACGCGCGCUACACUGAAGCUAUCAACACGUUUUCCCUCCCUGAGAAGGGCGGGUAACCUUUUGAAUCAGCUUCGUGGUAGGGAUCGGGGCUUGCAAUUGUUCCCCGUGAACCAGGAAUUCCUAGUAGACGCGAGUCAUAAGCUCGCAUCGAUUAAGUCCCUGCCCUUUGUACACACCGCCCGUCGCUGCUACCGAUUGAACGUUUUAGUGAGGCAUUUGGACCGACGCAUCUCAGUUUAACCGCUGGUUUGUGUUGGAAAGACUUCCAAACUUGAGCGUUUAGAGGAAGUAAAAGUCGUAACA
Molecule: ribosomal RNA, 324 nt
Filed under: uncultured eukaryote
Lineage: Eukaryota
Description: partial 18S ribosomal RNA
Rfam family: Eukaryotic small subunit ribosomal RNA
Source: RNAcentral